Molecule: ribosomal RNA, 492 nt
Filed under: uncultured bacterium
Lineage: Bacteria
Description: partial 16S ribosomal RNA
Rfam family: Bacterial small subunit ribosomal RNA
Source: RNAcentral
AGUGAACGCUGGCGGUAGGCCUAACACAUGCAAGUCGAACGGCAGCACAGUAAGAGCUUGCUCUUACGGGUGGCGAGUGGCGGACGGGUGAGGAAUACAUCGGAAUCUACUUUUUCGUGGGGGAUAACGUAGGGAAACUUACGCUAAUACCGCAUACGACCUACGGGUGAAAGCAGGGGAUCUUCGGACCUUGCGCGAUUGAAUGAGCCGAUGUCGGAUUAGCUAGUUGGCGGGGCAAAGGCCCACCAAGGCGACGAUCCGUAGCUGGUCUGAGAGGAUGAUCAGCCACACUGGAACUGAGACACGGCCCAGACUCCUACGGGAGGCAGCAGUGGGGAAUAUUGGACAAUGGGCGCAAGCCUGAUCCAGCCAUACCGCGUGGGUGAAGAAGGCCUUCGGGUUGUAAAGCCCUUUUGUUGGGAAAGAAAAGCAGCAGGUUAAUACCCCGCUGUUCUGACGGUACCCAAAGAAUAAGCACCGGCUAACUUCGUG